GGGUCAGGGCCGGCAUUAGGCAUAGGCAAACUAAGCAGCCGACUAAGGCCUCCAAUCGGUGUGGGCUUUGCACAGGACAAAACAAAACAAGAUAUUAAAAAUUACAUUAAAAAAUAGCGAAACCUGGAUCAGAUCUCUAACAUAGUGGUGCACUAUAACUCUAUGUUUACUAGUCUAACCCUCUCUACUACGGCAGGUUUCUAAUAAAUUGAGGGU
Non-coding RNA from Biomphalaria pfeifferi, 216 nucleotides. NCBI's taxonomy places the organism in Eukaryota, Metazoa, Mollusca, Gastropoda, Planorbidae. The record is from the annotation of a GenBank genome assembly.